This is a long non-coding RNA of Helianthus annuus (common sunflower), 4742 nucleotides long. RefSeq lists it as uncharacterized. The record is from RefSeq and is a predicted model, not a curated record. The transcript has 6 exons. Lineage: Eukaryota; Viridiplantae; Streptophyta; Magnoliopsida; Asterales; Asteraceae.
CGAAAACGGGUUUGGUAAUCAAACCCGGUUAAUACUAAGAGACGGGUUAUAACUCCCGGAAUCCAAUAAGUUAACUAGGAAUAAUAAUAACCUAGUUAGAAGAGAAGUCUUGUAGUGACAUACUAGUGGGUUAAAAACCUUAUAACUAGGAAAAUAUAAAACUUUAUAUUAAAAUUAUAAAGUUUUAAAUAAACAAGGACAAACUAACUAGGACAAAUUAACCCAGUUAGUCUUGAGACUUGUAAAUUACUUACUAGAAGGUUAAAACACCUUAAAUAAAUAACUUAAUGAUAAUGGAGGGACUAAAGGUGUUAAAACUAAAACUAAUAAUAAUAAAAACAAGGUUUAAACACCAAACACACUAAAAGGAGUGUGUCUGGUCGAUCUAAACAUCAGGAGCGAACAGGAGCUUCCCCACCAAACCCUAACUUGUGCAAAUUGAUCAAAUUGGGGCUUCAAAUCAGUUCCAAAUCGAUUUCCAAGCACGAAAUUGUCAUCUCCAUUGAAAGGGGAGUCAUAAGUUUGAUCUCGUCAAACUAAGUGGGAGCUGGAAAGGAAUGGAUCAAACGGGUCAAGUGCGCAAGGAAAGCUCGAACGGACGCAAACUGUACAUUUUGGAUGCCGGAAGACGAUCAAGCUCAACGAAGAACCGAACACGAAUAAGAUAAAAGCUUCCGCACGUCGUUUCGUCGUAACUUUUAAACGACGAACUCAAUUAUGUUAUGUUGUAUUAUUUUAAAAUUGUAAAGUUUAAACAAACCCGUAUUUUUACAAAGUAUAUGUAGUCAUAAUUACAUGUUGUUUGUCGUAUACUUUACGAAAACCAUUAAAUAAUGACAAGGGUGUUACAAGUUGGUAAUCAGAGCUCAUGGUUAAAGAGUAAAGUGUGUUCGGUUCGAGGCUUGAUCGCAUAUCCGGUAAGUACAUGUAUAUUAAUGGUUUGGUAUGUGUUGAAAUGUUGUGAACAACACAUAGGGUUAUCGUGUGAUACACGUUACCUCUAUUAAAUGAUAAAUAUAGUUGAGAAAAUUGCGCGCAUUGACGCGUAUACUAGAAAAGCCUUGUAUUAUAAUACGGGCGAUUAUUGAAGUUGAUAUUACUAAUUCUUGUAAAUGUUUUAAUUGAAGGACACUCGCAUCUGAAGAUAGCGAGAGUUUAACAAAUUGCGGAUAUGAUGAUGGAACGGUCCGAGAUGUGACAAGAAGAGCAUACUCAUCAAGGACCUAAAUCGCAUAACGAUCGCAAAUAAGUAAUGGCAAGGAAUGCCCGUCGGGGCAAGCAUUACCAGGUGCACAUUUUAAACUUAUAGUACAAACAGUAAUAUGCAACAAAUACAUAGUGAAUGACAGUUGCAUAUAGAAUAUGAAACUUGGAAAACCUGGAUAGGUUACCUAUCCAGGAUGACGUUUCCAAGAGAAAUUCAGUAGAGAAUAUGUAUUAUUCACAAAUUGUGAAUAACAAGACAAUAACAGAAUUCAGUUUAUAUAGAAACUUGGACGAAAAUGAUCAUCCAAGUAAGUAUUCUCAAUAUAAAUCCUAUUGAGAAAAGUAAUGAUCACAUCAACAAAUGUGAAUAAAUGUUUAUAAAAAGGGACAUUUUACAUGUUCAAGGAUAAACGACUAAAGCUAAUAAUUGUUAACUAACAAUUAAAUAAAGUUUUACCAAAUGAAAUCAUAAAUAUGGAAAUAAUUUGAGGAGUUACUUACAUGGGGCGUGAUGUGGUAAUUAUAAUAAGGUCACGCGUACCAUGUGUUGAUCGCUUACUCUGGCCAAGUAAGUAGUGAACACAUGAUAGCAUGAGCUUCUUAUAAUGAGCGCAGUUAUGUCCGAUGUAGUAAGGUCAAGAUGAAUGAAAAUUUAAAGGAUCCUUAGGGUCAAGAAAUCUUAUGGGCAUACUCGUAUAAAUGGUUUUCGCGGGAACCAUAAAAACGACGUAUGGCGCACAUAGAAAUAAAUGACCCAAGGAAAUUCGUGACAUAAGUCAUUUCGGACGAAACAACCAUGGUAGACAAAAAGGGCAUUGUAAAACCAAAGUAUAAAUGACCCGCGGGGUCAUAGAAACAAAGGUAUUGCCCACAUGGGAAAAACGAUCAAAAACCAUGGUAGACAAAAAGGGCAUUGUAAAACGAAAGUAUAAAUGACCCGCGGGGUCAUAGAAACAAAGGUAUUGCCCACAUGGGAAAAACGAUCAAAGUCGUUGACUUUGGUCGUAGUAAAGAAAUGAUGAUGAUGAUGAUAAUCAUCAUUCAUAGUUUAUAAGACUGUCAAGGAUGGUCGAAUAAAGAAUAAAGGUUUGGUUGAAUAAAAGCGAUGGAUUUCGCUAAGACAACCAAACAAAUUAAAACGAAAUCUUAAUGUAUACCGGAAUGCUUGCACUAAUAAUGACUUCGGUAAAGUACCCGGUUGAUGGGUAAGGAUUUAAACACAUGCGUAAACCGAGAAACGGGAACACGAAUUUAAAGUCAAAAGACUCGGAUUAUGAGUUAUGACUGAAAGACCAUAAAAUUUCGCAAACAGAAAUUUUGAUAAUUAUAUUCAACUAUUUUGAGGUUGAACGGGUUGAAUAAAGUAUAAUGCUUGAUGGCAUAAGUAAGCGCAAGCCGGAUAACGGUAAGCUUGAGACAAACCGAUGCUUAAUUGACGUGAGAAGUCAUAGAGUCGGAAGAAUUAUCCGAAAGAAAACGAUUGUAGACACGAACUACAGUCAAAGUUAACGGAUUUCAAGCAUGAAAACAAAUGAUUUUCAAACAAAAAAAUAGAGAGUGCUUUGACACCAAAUAUAUAUUUUAAUAAAGACACGAGUAAAAAGAAUGAUCUACGGGAUCAUCAUAACCUUCAGGUUAUAAACAGUGUAAAGGUCUACGGGACCAAAAUGACCUACGGGUCAUGAAUAAAAAGGAAAAAGGAUCAUAAAGGACUCGCCUUAAAGAGGUGAGAGCCUAAAGAAAUAGCCUACGAGGCUAAGUGAAUGAACCUAUGGGUUAUCUAGACAUAGCGAGGGAACUGGUUGAGAAUCCCCGCGUAAAAUAAGAAUGAAAAAGAAUAAAUUCUUAAUUGUCAAUUUCUUGAUAUGAGUAAUUGACGAAAGUUAAAGAGAUGACGUUAAAUUAAACUUCAAGUUUUAGUGAGAAACAACGUUUUAACAAAUAUGAAUACUACAAGACGAUUUUGGAAAUAAAAAAUAUCAAAGAGUAUGGGUCUUAACAUCGAUAGGUGCAAGACGAUAUAUUCGAAAAAGUGGUAUUUUCGAAAAUGAAAGGUUCAUAUAAAUUAAACAUGACGUGACACGAUCACGGUCAAGAAAUGCAAUGUGAAGUGGAAUCACAUUAUCACCAGGCGAGCGGUAAAAAGCAACUGGACUAAUAAGUCUAGUUAGUGAGAUCGGUUAAGGUAAUUUAAGUAAGUUGGUUGCUUGUAAGCGGUGGAUUCGGUAUAACUGAACCGAAUAAAUGAAUUGGAAAACAAAAGAAAUAGUUGCUAAAAGAGAAAGAUUUCACUAAAGACCUUUAAACGGGUCAAGGUAACGGAUUCACAAAGAGUUCGAUAAUAUAUGAAAGCGAUGGAUAUCGCUAAGUUAACUAAACUAGUGGAAAUAACAAGAUUACGUUAUUUCGUAGUUACACUAUGUCGUAUGAGAUAUGUAGACAAUUAGUAACCAAAAAGAUGUUACCGUACUUUUCGGGUAGUACUAACGAUUGGUUAAAAAGUAUAAGUAAUGUUUAAAAGAUUACUCAGGUCAAACGCAUUGAGUUUAGAACUCGAUGAACUAUGUAAGAAAGGUUUCGAGGACGAAACCUCUUUAAGGGGGGUAGACUUGUAACACCCCGAAAACGGGUUUGGUAAUCAAACCCGGUUAAUACUAAGAGACGGGUUAUAACUCCCGGAAUCCAAUAAGUUAACUAGGAAUAAUAAUAACCUAGUUAGAAGAGAAGUCUUGUAGUGACAUACUAGUGGGUUAAAAAUCUUAUAACUAGGAAAAUAUAAAACUUUAUAUUAAAAUUAUAAAGUUUUAAAUAAACAAGGACAAACUAACUAGGACAAAUUAACCCAGUUAGUCUUGAGACUUGUAAAUUACUUACUAGAAGGUUAAAACACCUUAAAUAAAUAACUUAAUGAUAAUGGAGGGACUAAAGGUGUUAAAACUAAAACUAAUAAUAAUAAAAACAAGGUUUAAACACCAAACACACUAAAAGAAGUGUGUUUGGUCGAUCUAAACAUCAGGAGCGAACAGGAGCUUCCCCACCAAACCCUAACUUGUGCAAAUUGAUCAAAUUGGGGCUUCAAAUCAGUUCCAAAUCGAUUUCCAAGCACGAAAUUGUCAUCUCCAUUGAAAGGGGAGUCAUAAGUUUGAUCUCGUCAAACUAAGUGGGAGCUGGAAAGGAAUGGAUCAAACGGGUCAAGUGCGCAAGGAAAGCUCGAACGGACGCAAACUUCAUAUGUUUACAGGAACGAAUAGAAAUUUGGAUAAUUACAUCAUCAUAGAAUAUUGAAUUAAUAAUAGCAAGGCAUAAACGGGUCUAUACGUUGACUCGAGCCAGGUACAUUUUGGAUGCCGGAAGACGAUCAAGCUCAACGAAGAACCGAACACGAAUAAGAUAAAAGCUUCCGCACGUCGUUUCGUCGUAACUUUUAAACGACGAACUCAAUUAUGUUAUGUUGUAUUAUUUUAAAAUUGUAAAGUUUAAACAAACCCGUAUUUUUACAAAGUAUAUGUAGUCAUAAUUACAUGUUGUUUGUCGUA